CCUGAGAGCCAGCAGGAAAAGAAACAAAACCUGAAGCUGAUGUCUCAGCAUCCUACUGUAAAUCUACAAGAAGUCAAACAUCUAAUGAAAUUGACUUUCUACACACAGCGUAAACAAGUCAACCAGGGGCAAAAUAUAAAAUGCCUUUUGGAAGAGUGGCCGUUUUGGUUCAGUGAACUUGGCAUGGCAGUUCACUUCAAGGAACUUACUGGAAUUGGUCUUCAAGAAACGUUCACACGAAAUCUGGAUUUGAAGGGCAAACGACUCUUAAACUACUUAAAUACUGUUGGUGUGAAGAAAAACAAAGUUUUUACAGGCAGUAACAAAGUUUGAAGUGAUGAGGGGAGAGCUAAUUGGUUGCUCUGAACAAAUGUUGCUGCUUUUGCUGUCUUACUUUAACGAGAAAGAAGAUGCAAUGUUGCGCUACGUGGAGGACACAUGCCUGGCAGGGGAAGUAGAAAUAAACCACGUUUGUUUGACUCCCACCAUUGUUGUGUGUGGUCAGUCCUGCUUUUCUUUGAAGAGAUUUAUGUUGUGUGGAUCAGAACAUUGUACUUGAAAACAUCACCUCUUUCAUCACUGCCUUCUGCUUGAUGUUUGGGAGCUUUUAUUGCUUUAAUAUUUAUUACCCAUCAGAACUGGCAUCAACUCUGGAGUUUUUGCAGAGGUGUUUUUUUUUUCUCCAUCAACCCAGAGAAGGGCACCAAAGUUGAGAAGACAAACACCGCCCGUCUUCCCGUAAACCCAAGAGUUCUUGCAUUGAUUCAGGAACUUUUAGAUCAUGAGUGGCAGGAUGUCUGAAUAUGGACUAAUGUCAGAUUUCUGACUUGAGACACACUCAACUUGAAGGACAGUUUCACCUUUUAUGUCCAGUUAUUUCAGAUUAAGAGGCAAGUAAAUGUUUCAAAUGAUAUUGUUUAAAGAUGC
This is a long non-coding RNA of Silurus meridionalis, 927 nucleotides long. RefSeq lists it as uncharacterized. The record is from RefSeq and is a predicted model, not a curated record. Lineage: Eukaryota; Metazoa; Chordata; Actinopteri; Siluriformes; Siluridae. The transcript is spliced from 3 exons.